This 1438-nucleotide ribosomal RNA is filed under the name uncultured organism. RNAcentral's name for it is "SSU rRNA". It matches the Rfam family "Bacterial small subunit ribosomal RNA". The record is from RNAcentral.
CUUAACACAUGCAAGUCGAGGGGCAGCAUGGUCUUAGCUUGCUAAGGCCGAUGGCGACCGGCGCACGGGUGAGUAACGCGUAUCCAACCUGCCUUACACUCUUGGACAGCCUUCUGAAAGGGAGAUUAAUACAAGAUGUUAUCAUGAGUAAGCAUUUUCGCAUGAUUAAAGGUUUACCGGUGUAAGAUGGGGAUGCGUUCCAUUAGAUAGUAGGCGGGGUAACGGCCCACCUAGUCUUCGAUGGAUAGGGGUUCUGAGAGGAAGGUCCCCCACAUUGGAACUGAGACACGGUCCAAACUCCUACGGGAGGCAGCAGUGAGGAAUAUUGGUCAAUGGACGAGAGUCUGAACCAGCCAAGUAGCGUGAAGGAUGAAGGUUCUAUGGAUUGUAAACUUCUUUUAUACGGGAAUAAACGAAUCCACGUGUGGAUUUUUGCAUGUACCGUAUGAAUAAGGAUCGGCUAACUCCGUGCCAGCAGCCGCGGUAAUACGGAGGAUCCGAGCGUUAUCCGGAUUUAUUGGGUUUAAAGGGAGCGUAGAUGGGUUGUUAAGUCAGUUGUGAAAGUUUGCGGCUCAACCGUAAAAUUGCAAUUGAUACUGGCAGUCUUGAGUACAGUUGAGGUAGGCGGAAUUCGUGGUGUAGCGGUGAAAUGCUUAGAUAUCACGAAGAACUCCGAUUGCGAAGGCAGCUUACUAACCUGUAACUGACAUUGAUGCUCGAAAGUGUGGGUAUCAAACAGGAUUAGAUACCCUGGUAGUCCACACGGUAAACGAUGAAUACUCGCUGUAGGCGAUAUACAGUCUGCGGCCAAGCGAAAGCAUUAAGUAUUCCACCUGGGGAGUACGCCGGCAACGGUGAAACUCAAAGGAAUUGACGGGGGCCCGCACAAGCGGAGGAACAUGUGGUUUAAUUCGAUGAUACGCGAGGAACCUUACCCGGGCUUAAAUUGCAACCGAAUAUGGCGGAAACGCUAUAGCUAGCAAUAGCGGUUGUGAAGGUGCUGCAUGGUUGUCGUCAGCUCGUGCCGUGAGGUGUCGGCUUAAGUGCCAUAACGAGCGCAACCCUUGCCGAUAGUUACUAACAGGUCAUGCUGAGGACUCUGUCGGGACUGCCAUCGUAAGAUGUGAGGAAGGUGGGGAUGACGUCAAAUCAGCACGGCCCUUACGUCCGGGACUACACACGUGUUACAAUGGGGGGUACAGAGGGCUGCUACCACGCAAGUGGAUGCCAAUCCCAAAAACCUCUCUCAGUUCGGAUUGAAGUCUGCAACCCGACUUCAUGAAGCUGGAUUCGCUAGUAAUCGCGCAUCAGCCACGGCGCGGUGAAUACGUUCCCGGGCCUUGUACACACCGCCCGUCAAGCCAUGGGAGCCGGGGGUACCUGAAGUGCGUAACCGCAAGGAGCGCCCUAGGGUAAAACUGGUGACUGGGGCUAAGUG